AGUUAAUAAGCUUUAAGAAGCAUGUAUUUUGAAAGUACAAGAUAAAGUAAUCUUUAUUAACUU
RNAcentral lists this transfer RNA (63 nucleotides) under Neurobasis chinensis. RNAcentral's name for it is "tRNA-Ser". Lineage: Eukaryota; Metazoa; Arthropoda; Insecta; Odonata; Calopterygidae. The record is from RNAcentral.